This is an unclassified non-coding RNA of 308 nucleotides. It matches the Rfam family "Metazoan signal recognition particle RNA". From Rfam's summary of the family: The signal recognition particle (SRP) is a universally conserved ribonucleoprotein. It is involved in the co-translational targeting of proteins to membranes. The eukaryotic SRP consists of a 300-nucleotide 7S RNA and six proteins: SRPs 72, 68, 54, 19, 14, and 9. The record is from Ensembl.
GCUGGGCAUGGUGGUAGACACCUGUAGUCCCAGCCAGUCUGGAGGCUGAGGCAGGAAGAUGGCUCAAGUCCAGGCAUUCUAGGCUAUACUGCAUUAUGAAGAAUGAAUGUCCACACUAAGUUUGGCAUGAAUAUGACUGGCAAUAUCCAGGGAUCAGGGGAACAGCCACUUUGCCUAAGGAGGGGUGAAUUGGUCCAGGUCAAAUCUUUUCAGGUGCUCAAAUCUCUCAUGUUAAUCAGUAGUAGGAUGAUGUCUGUGAGUAGCUACUGUACUCCAACCUGGGCAACUAGUGAGACUCCUCCUGUUAU